GGAAGAGGGAGCCCAGCAAAGCUUCUUGGAGGAGGGGAUUCUUGAAAUGACCGUGCAGAUGGAGAAGCAAGUCAGCAGGGAAGGUGCUGGUGUUAUCUACAGAGAGUGGCCUAGCACAGUUGGUCUAGGCCCUAGUCAGGCGUGAAUUGUGCCUCCAACUCCUGGUUGUGUGUCUGGGUGCCUUACCUAAUUACCUGGUGCCUUGAUUCUGAUUUCCUCAACUCUCAGGCAGGAGGAAUUAUGCAAGACAGGAUCAAGAGCGAGCUUCCCAAGACCCUCCUGCUGAUUGCCAUGCCAGGUCAUAAAAGGAAACACACUUACUGGGGAAGAUGAGGAUCAGAUGAAGUACAAGAUCCAGUUUCCAUGUUCUGUUUCACUCAAAGUUGAAAUGCACCCUGAUUUGCCUUAACCUCCCAGUGGACCUCUGCUUGGAGACACCAACAGACAACACAGAAGGCCUCUAUCAUUUUGAUGGCCAGCUUGCUGGGUGAUCUUCGAAAGUUGUUUCCUUUCUCUGUGCCUGCUCUUCAAAACUGGAGAAAUGGGUUCCCUUCAUGAGGCUAUCAAACAAGCCAGCAUGCUGAGAUCUGCAAGGCUGUGCUUUUUACACUACCCCAGCCCUGCCGCCUCUCAGGAAGGAAUGGGGACCUCUGGGCACCAUCUACCUACCUACCUGUUUGUGAAAUAGCGCAUGCCUACCGUGUUCUAGGUUGCUGGUCUUGGCUCAGGUGAUACAUCUGAGGAUAACUCACAUGA
Long non-coding RNA from Cavia porcellus (domestic guinea pig), 756 nucleotides. RefSeq lists it as uncharacterized. NCBI's taxonomy places the organism in Eukaryota, Metazoa, Chordata, Mammalia, Rodentia, Caviidae. The transcript is spliced from 2 exons. The record is from RefSeq and is a predicted model, not a curated record.